GACGUAGGGCGCGAGCGUUUGUCCGGAUUUAUUGGGCGUAAAGAGCUCGUAGGCGGUCUGUCGCGUCGGCUGUGAAAACCCGGGGCUCAACCCCGGGCCUGCAGUCGAUACGGGCAGACUAGAGUGCGGUAGGGGAGACUGGAAUUCCUGGUGUAGCGGUGAAAUGCGCAGAUAUCAGGAGGAACACCAGUGGCGAAAGCGGCUUCCUGGUCCAGCACCGACGUUCAGGCACGAAAGCGUGGGGGAGCAAACAGG
Molecule: ribosomal RNA, 255 nt
Filed under: uncultured bacterium
Lineage: Bacteria
Description: partial 16S ribosomal RNA
Rfam family: Bacterial small subunit ribosomal RNA
Source: RNAcentral